GAACUGGCUCGCCGGUCCGCCUCGCGGCGUGUACUGGUUCGGCCGGUUCUUUCCUUCUGGUGAACCGUCAUGUCCUUCACUGGGUGUGGCGGGGACCCAGGACUUUUACCUUGAAAAAAUUAGAGUGUUCAAAGCAGGCCUAUGCUCGGAUACAUUAGCAUGGAAUAAUAGAAUAGGACG
RNAcentral lists this ribosomal RNA (180 nucleotides) under uncultured Glomeromycotina. RNAcentral describes it as "partial small subunit ribosomal RNA". Lineage: Eukaryota; Fungi; Glomeromycota. The record is from RNAcentral.